This 403-nucleotide ribosomal RNA is filed under the name bacterium. RNAcentral's name for it is "partial 16S ribosomal RNA". It matches the Rfam family "Bacterial small subunit ribosomal RNA", at positions 355 to 776 of the family's 1533-position model. The record is from RNAcentral.
UGGGGAAUAUUGCACAAUGGAGGGAACUCUGAUGCAGCGACGCCGCGUGAACGAAGAAGGCUUUCGAGUCGUACAGUUCUUUUAUAUGGGAAGAUAAUGACGGUACCAUAAGAAAAAGCCCCGGCUAACUACGUGCCAGCAGCCGCGGUAAUACGUAGGGGGCUAGCGUUGUCCGGAAUCACUGGGCGUAAAGGGUUCGCAGGCGGAAAUGCAAGUCAGGUGUAAAAGGCAGUAGCUUAACUACUGUAAGCAUUUGAAACUGCAUAUCUUGAGAAGAGUAGAGGUAAGUGGAAUUUUUAGUGUAGCGGUGAAAUGCGUAGAUAUUAAAAAGAAUACCGGUGGCGAAGGCGGCUUACUGGGCUCAUUCUGACGCUGAGGAACGAAAGCGUGGGUAGCAAACAGG